CCUACGGGUGGCUGCAGUGAGGAAUAAUGGUCAAAGGCCGAGAGGCUGAACCAGCCAAGUCGCGUGAGGGAUGACGGCCCUACGGGUUGUAAACCUCUUUUGUCGGGGAGAAAAGAGCGACACGUGUGGCUCAUUGAGAGUACCCGAAGAAAAAGCAUCGGCAAACUCCGUGCCAGCAGCCGCGGUAAUACGGAGGAUGCGAGCGUUAUCCGGAUUUAUUGGGUUUAAAGGGUGCGCAGGCGGAGUUGCAAGUCAGUGGUCAAAUUGCGGGGCUCAACCCCGUACUGCCGUUGAAACUGCAUCCCUUGAGUGCGCGAGAAGUAUGCGGAAUGCGUGGUGUAGCGGUGAAAUGCAUAGAUAUCACGCAGAACUCCGAUUGCGAAGGCAGCAUACCGGCGCGCAACUGACGCUCAUGCACGAAAGCGUGGGUAUCGAACAGGAUUAGAUACCCGUGUAGUC
Molecule: ribosomal RNA, 459 nt
Filed under: uncultured bacterium
Lineage: Bacteria
Description: partial 16S ribosomal RNA
Rfam family: Bacterial small subunit ribosomal RNA
Source: RNAcentral